AUGGAUAAGAGAAACAAUGUGGUGAUGACUAAUAAUUAGCAUGGCUUCCAUGCUAGGACAGUAACGGGAACUGGUAGAGACCAUGGCUGAAUGAAGACCAUACACAUUGCGUAUAGAAGGCAGCCCCUACUCAGCUUAGCCAAAUUUUCUCAUGUCGAAUUAUAGGUCUUAGUGGGUCUAGAUCUUAAUAUAUUUUUGAGAAAAGCUAGAAAUGUGGAUUUUUAUAUCAAAUGUAUCCAUUUUUAAUGUUGGUGCAAUUUCUAAAAAUAAACAAAAACUGUAUGGGCCAAAUAAAAUAUAUAUGCAAGCUGAAUUAGGCUAGUGGAUUACUAGUUUGAGAACUCUUAUUUAGAAAGAUCUGCCUCUGAGAAUUCGUGUUUCCUUCUUGAGCAGGCAGAAUAUGGAUCUGUGUGUAUGUGCUUCUAUGUAUGGGAUUUAGCAAUUAACCAGUACCCCUGCCCCCUUCAAAAGGCGCAUAUUGAUGAAAUCAUCUGUGACCUCACAGGAAUCACAGAUGAUAUUCCUAUGACACCCUAGAUUGUUCUGUUACACAAGGGGUACCAAAGUCCACCCUGAGCUUUUCCUCUGGGAACAGAUUCCAGAUUAUUCCAGACUUAAGACAUGGAGAUAUAUCUUGCUAGAGGUAGGAAGAUGAUAAGAUCAGUUUCUAUAGGUAGAGGAUAAUGUGUCCUAAAACGUAGGUAGAGAUAAGUCUGACAGUGGUUUAGUCAAGAAGGGCCUCUGCUAAUGCUGGAGAGCUCAAGAAAGAAAAGAGCAAUGUUAAGUGAGGCUGUACCCACAGAUCAUGCUCAAGCAAACUCGAACCUGUAAGAUGAAAGAGGACCUGCCCUCCAUUCUAUCUACUCCCUCUCUGCAAAGGCCAUUUUGAAGAUCUCAGUUUUACUGAAAGGGGUCUGCCACACAUAACUUCCCUGGUGUACCAGCAACAAGUGUUCAGUGGACCAUGGCAACACAGAGAAUGACGGAGGAGAGAAAAUGCCAUGCAGAAGUGAUAGUCAAGAUGAAGAUGUGGCAGAAGAGCAGCCCCCAGUAUAUAUUCAGUGUGUCCUCUGAAGUAACAACCAUCCCAUCUGGCUGAGAAGUGAUGGACACGGCUCCUUAACCACACUGUACCCUCCGUUCUUGGCACCUCUCUACCAG
This 1161-nucleotide non-coding RNA is filed under the name Pongo abelii (Sumatran orangutan). The record is from RNAcentral. Lineage: Eukaryota; Metazoa; Chordata; Mammalia; Primates; Hominidae.